RNAcentral lists this long non-coding RNA (226 nucleotides) under Arachis ipaensis. Its description in RNAcentral is "long non-coding RNA (AIPA_LNC001509)". The record is from RNAcentral. Lineage: Eukaryota; Viridiplantae; Streptophyta; Magnoliopsida; Fabales; Fabaceae.
AGGUUAGAAAAAUGGGUUCCAAAAAGAAAUCUGAAAGUGGUUUGAUUCAAAUGAACCGGUUCCGUUUCAAAUGAGUUGAUUUUUGGACCGGAUGGGAACUUGUGAUUUUGUAUGGUUCGGUUUCAUAAUAAAUUCAGUUUUAUUUACUUGAGCCGAGAAUCUAUGAUUUUAAGAGUUUCAAUGAAUUUUAAGGAAUUGAUAUAGAUUAACCUUCCCUAAAGACUUG